AUUCUUGUGAUUUGCCUCCCGAAUCCCUAUCUCAGGGGGGUCGGGGCAACCCGGCUAUGUCGGUAGACUGCUACGUGGAAUAGGCAUUUCGGACCCGGGGGGCAGUACCCCGGCGCCUCCACCACCAGCGGCACCUCUCGGAACGAGGGGCUGUUGCUGAUGGGGGCGAAAUAGGAUCGACGAGUGUAAUAAAGACGUGGUUGCCGAUCGGAUUGAGUCACCGUGACGGCUCAUUUUCACAAGUGCCAACGACAACGAGGCACUCGCGAUUGCCGCGUAACUGACGUCCUAACGGACUGACGUUACAAAGCUUAAGCGCGGUCGGACCCCACCGGGCAACAGAAGGGGAUUCCAGCGGUUCGGAGGGCACCGGGCAACAGAAGCCCUCCACC
RNAcentral lists this transfer-messenger RNA (392 nucleotides) under Sphingomonas anseongensis. It matches the Rfam family "Alphaproteobacteria transfer-messenger RNA". Rfam says of the family: Bacterial tmRNA, also known as 10Sa RNA or SsrA, is named for its dual tRNA and mRNA-like properties. Its role is to liberate the mRNA from a stalled ribosome. Lineage: Bacteria; Pseudomonadati; Pseudomonadota; Alphaproteobacteria; Sphingomonadales; Sphingomonadaceae. The record is from RNAcentral.